UGGAGAACAAACGUCCACCAACCAGGAAACACCUGCCUCCAACUGUUAAGUCUGUGAAAUGUGCUUUGUUUCUGGUCAGCAUGGUCACCUGCUUUAAUAGUGGCUUCAGAUGAGGCACCUUGUGACAGAGGAGCUCUUCCCCUGCAGCAACCUUGAAGAUGUUGUGGAAGACAAUAGCCAUUCUUACUUCACUCUGAGGAUCACGAUGGCGUGCAAGGGUGUGCCAAGCACAUUGCUAUCUUUGGCCAUUCUCUCUCACAUUAGUACACCUGGAUGUGAAUGGCACGUUAUCUAUGUAAGCAGUGAUGGUCUCUAUCUGGUGGUAGAAAUGACAGAAUUACACACAAUCAGGACAGCUGAGAUUCCAUUUACUAGCUCAGUAAUCAGAGAAUAUGUAUGACAUCCCAGCAAAAAAUGUUGAACAUGUUCAGAUUUCAUCAUAUCAGCACCACAGUAUCAGUCUUACUGGGAGGUGCUUGCAUUCAGUUCCUGGCUACUGAAGAAAUUUUGCAGGAGUUCCAGAUAACUUACUUGUCCCAUAAUAAUGAAAACUAUUACAAUUAUGCUAAAGAAGAAUACUUAAUAACACAGUAAAAAUGUUUAUGAUGUCUUUUAAUUUCUAAAGCAUGUUAUAAAAGUAUUACAGUAUGAUCUCAUAUUUGUAACUAAAAUAUAUAUUAAUUCAUUU
RNAcentral lists this long non-coding RNA (688 nucleotides) under Pan troglodytes (chimpanzee). RNAcentral's name for it is "long non-coding RNA NONPTRT014709". Lineage: Eukaryota; Metazoa; Chordata; Mammalia; Primates; Hominidae. The record is from RNAcentral.